CCUACGGGCGGCUGCAGUGAGGAAUAUUGGUCAAUGGACGAGAGUCUGAACCAGCCAAGUAGCGUGAAGGAUGACUGCCCUCUGGGUUGUAAACUUCUUUUAUAUGGGAAUAAAAUGUUCCACGUGUGGGAUUUUGUAUGUACCAUAUGAAUACGGCUCGGCUAACUCUGUGCCAGCAGCCGCGGUAAUACGGAGGAUCCGAGCGUUAUCCGGAUUUAUUGGGUUUAAAGGGAGCGUAGGUGGAUUGUUAAGUCUGUUGAGAAAGUUUGCGGCUCAACCGUAAAAUUGCAGUUGAAACUGGCAGUCUUGAGUACAGUAGAGGUGGGCGGAAUUCGGGGUGUAGCGGUGAAAUGCAUAGAUAUCACGAAGAACUCCGAUUGCGAAGGCAGCGCACGAGACUGCAACUGACACUGAGGCUCGAAAGUGUGGGUAUCAAACAGGAUUAGAUACCCCUGUAGU
RNAcentral lists this ribosomal RNA (459 nucleotides) under uncultured bacterium. RNAcentral describes it as "partial 16S ribosomal RNA". It matches the Rfam family "Bacterial small subunit ribosomal RNA", at positions 338 to 794 of the family's 1533-position model. The record is from RNAcentral.